GCCUUCGUGGUGUAAUGGUCAGCACACUCAAAGCGUAAUUGAAAGGCCAGAGGUUCGAUUCCCGGCGAGGGUA
RNAcentral lists this transfer RNA (73 nucleotides) under Stegodyphus mimosarum. It matches the Rfam family "tRNA". Rfam says of the family: Transfer RNA (tRNA) molecules are approximately 80 nucleotides in length. Lineage: Eukaryota; Metazoa; Arthropoda; Arachnida; Araneae; Eresidae. The record is from Rfam by way of RNAcentral.